RNAcentral lists this unclassified non-coding RNA (544 nucleotides) under Dendryphion europaeum. RNAcentral describes it as "sequence contains ITS1, 5.8S rRNA gene and ITS2". The stretch from base 192 to 346 matches the Rfam family "5.8S ribosomal RNA". Lineage: Eukaryota; Fungi; Ascomycota; Dothideomycetes; Pleosporales; Torulaceae. The record is from RNAcentral.
AAGUCGUAACAAGGUUUCCGUAGGUGAACCUGCGGAAGGAUCAUUAACAAUUCGCGCCCCGGCGCGAUGCGUUCACCCUGACCUUUGAGUACCCUAUUUUCCUCCCCCCGGCCGGGGCAACCCGCCGGACGGGACAACAAAACAAACCUCUUGCAUUAGCAGUCACUGUCAGUACAAAACAAAAUUAUUAAAACUUUCAACAAUGGAUCUCUUGGCUCUGGCAUCGAUGAAGAACGCAGCGAAAUGCGAUAAGUAGUGUGAAUUGCAGAAUUCAGCGAAUCAUCGAAUCUUUGAACGCACAUUGCGCCCUUUGGUUAUUCCUUAGGGCAUGCCUGUUCGAGCGUCAUUUCAACCUUCAAGCUCAGCUUGGUGUUGGGUGUUUGUCCCGCCCCCCGCGCGUGGACUCGCCUCAAAUUGAUUGGCAGCCGCAUCCCCCCGCCGCGAGCGCAGCACAGUCGCGCUUACGACGAGGGCGGGUCGGCGCUCCAGAAGCCUAUUUCAACGUCUUGACCUCGGAUCAGGUAGGGAUACCCGCUGAACUUAA